GAUGAACGCUAGCGGAAGGCUUAAUACAUGCAAGUCGAGCGGUAGAUGGCUUCGGCCAUUGAGAGCGGCGCACGGGUGAGUAACGCGUACAUGACCUGCCUGUCAGAAGGGAAUAGCCCUGGGAAACUGGGGAUUAAUACCCCUAUGGUAUUGAUAUUAUGAAUGAUAUCAAUUAAAGUUGAGGCGCUGACAGAUGGAUGUGCGUCUGAUUAGCUAGUUGGUAGGGUAACGGCCUACCAAGGCGACGAUCAGUAGGGGGCGUGAGAGCGUGGUCCCCCACACGGGUACUGAGACACGGACCCGACUCCUACGGGAGGCAGUAGUAAGGAAUAUUGGUCAAUGCCCGCAAGGGUGAACCAGCCAUUCCGCGUGGAGGAUGAAGGCCCUAUGGGUUGUAAACUUCUUUUAGAUUGGGAAGAAAAUGCUAGAUGUAUCUGGUACUGACGGUACCAUCAGAAUAAGCACCGGCUAACUCCGUGCCAGCAGCCGCGGUAAAACG
Molecule: ribosomal RNA, 499 nt
Filed under: uncultured bacterium
Lineage: Bacteria
Description: bacterial SSU rRNA
Rfam family: Bacterial small subunit ribosomal RNA
Source: RNAcentral